AUGUGCUUUCUUGGUAUCCUAAAUAUAAGAUUAAUACUUCAAGUUGCUGAGUUGAGAAAGAGAUGGUUGAAUCAAAAGAAUUCCUUUUUUGAAGUUCAAUUUUUAUCAGAGGACAAUAUGAAUAUUAUACCUUGUUCCAUUAAAACACUCAAGGGGUUAUACGAUAUAUCGGGUGUAGAAGUAGGCCAACACUUCUAUUGGCAAAUAGGAGGUUUCCAGAUUCAUGCCCAAGUACUCAUCACUUCUUGGGUCGUAAUUACUAUCUUGCUAGGUUCAGUUGUCAUAGCUGUUCGGAAUCCACAAACCAUCCCGACCGACGGUCAGAAUUUUUUUGAAUAUGUCCUUGAGUUUAUUCGAGACUUGAGCAAAACUUAG
RNAcentral lists this ribosomal RNA (375 nucleotides) under Triticum aestivum (bread wheat). RNAcentral's name for it is "partial small subunit ribosomal RNA". The record is from RNAcentral. Lineage: Eukaryota; Viridiplantae; Streptophyta; Magnoliopsida; Poales; Poaceae.